GCCGGUAUAGCUCAGUGGUAGAGCAGCUGAUUUGUAAUCAGCAGGUCGUCGGUUCAAGCCCGACUGCCGGCU
RNAcentral lists this transfer RNA (72 nucleotides) under Verrucomicrobiota bacterium. Its description in RNAcentral is "tRNA-Thr". It matches the Rfam family "tRNA". Rfam says of the family: Transfer RNA (tRNA) molecules are approximately 80 nucleotides in length. Lineage: Bacteria; Pseudomonadati; Verrucomicrobiota. The record is from RNAcentral.